CCUACGGGAUGCAGCAGUGGGGAAUUUUGGACAAUGGGCGCAAGCCUGAUCCAGCAAUGCCGCGUGAGUGAAGAAGGCCUUCGGGUUGUAAAGCUCUUUUGUCAGGGAAGAAACGGCGGAGGCUAAUAUCCUUUGCUAAUGACGGUACCUGAAGAAUAAGCACCGGCUAACUACAUGCCAGCAGCCGCGGUAAUACGUAGGGUGCAAGCGUUAAUCGGAAUUACUGGGCGUAAAGCGUGCGCAGGCGGUUUUGUAAGUCUGACGUGAAAGCCCCGGGCUCAACCUGGGAAUUGCGUUGGAGACUGCAAGGCUUGAAUCUGGCAGAGGGGGGUAGAAUUCCACGUGUAGCAGUGAAAUGCGUAGAGAUGUGGAGGAACACCGAUGGCGAAGGCAGCCCCCUGGGUCAAGAUUGACGCUCAUGCACGAAAGCGUGGGGAGCAAACAGGAUUAGAUACCCGCGUAGUC
This 465-nucleotide ribosomal RNA is filed under the name uncultured bacterium. Its description in RNAcentral is "bacterial SSU rRNA". It matches the Rfam family "Bacterial small subunit ribosomal RNA", at positions 338 to 795 of the family's 1533-position model. The record is from RNAcentral.